This 72-nucleotide transfer RNA is filed under the name Camelus bactrianus (Bactrian camel). It matches the Rfam family "tRNA". Rfam says of the family: Transfer RNA (tRNA) molecules are approximately 80 nucleotides in length. Their secondary structure includes four short double-helical elements and three loops (D, anti-codon, and T loops). The record is from Rfam by way of RNAcentral. Lineage: Eukaryota; Metazoa; Chordata; Mammalia; Artiodactyla; Camelidae. RNAcentral also lists the same sequence under 2 other names.
AAGGGUGUAGCUCAGUGGUAGAGUGCAUCCCUAGCAAUUAUGAGGUCCUGGGUUCAAUCCCCAGUACCUCCA